AAUGCCCAUUGGUUAGAUUGAGACAUUGAUGGGAAAUGCUACUAUAACAGCAUUUGCACAUUACAUAUGAUUAUUAUUGGAAGUGAGCAAUGUUAUCAGCCUGAUAAUUCAAAAGAUUUUACAUAACACAUUUUCUCAGAUAUAUAUACUGUUCGUCUACCACAAGAAUGGCUCCCGCCAGGAAGUCUGUGCAUGUCUGUUGCCGUGGAAACAAGACUUGCUCCAUUUUCGACAGGGGAAGAAAGCCAUCAAGGCGUUCAGUAAGCCAAAAGAAAAGCAUCCAUUUUGGACGCUUUUCUUCUGGCUUACUGAACGCCUUGAUGGCCUGUUGGCGAUGUGUUUAUUAUUAUCAUUUUUUUUUUUUCGUAAUUACUUCCUAAACUGAAAGGACAUCUUGCCAGUUUAACAAAUUAGCGAAUUCAGUAUAACAAAUGGGAACAAAUAAUUUUAAAAGCAG
Molecule: long non-coding RNA, 457 nt
Filed under: Androctonus crassicauda
Lineage: Eukaryota; Metazoa; Arthropoda; Arachnida; Scorpiones; Buthidae
Source: RNAcentral